Molecule: ribosomal RNA, 402 nt
Filed under: Triticum aestivum (bread wheat)
Lineage: Eukaryota; Viridiplantae; Streptophyta; Magnoliopsida; Poales; Poaceae
Description: partial small subunit ribosomal RNA
Source: RNAcentral
AUGGCAGAUAUGGGAUUGGAUGCCUACAAAUUCUCAAUUGCAUGGUCUCGGAUUAUCCCAAAUGGCACCGGUGAGGUCAACCAGGCAGGCAUCGACCACUACAACAAGGUCAUUGAUGCACUCCUAGCAAAAGGGAUUGAGCCAUAUGUUACCCUCUACCACUGGGACCUUUCCCAGGCCCUGGAAGACAAGUACAGUGGGCUGCUUGACAGGCAGAUAAUCAACGACUGCGCGGCGUAUGCAGAGACGUGUUUCAAGGCGUCUGGGGACAGGGUGAAGCAUUGGAUCACCUUCAACGAGCCACACACUGGCGGUGCAGGGCUACGACAGUGGGAUCCACGCGUCGGGUGGCUGCUCUGUGCUCCGCCACCUCUACUGCAAACAAGGGAGCUCCGGCACUGA